Molecule: long non-coding RNA, 766 nt
Organism: Parus major (Great Tit)
Lineage: Eukaryota; Metazoa; Chordata; Aves; Passeriformes; Paridae
Exons: 3
Source: RefSeq, a predicted model, not a curated record
UUUAGGCUUUUUCCUGCUGUGCAUUUUUUCCAUUGUGUACAGCACCUCUGGUUGCCCAAAAUGCAGUGGUCCUUACCCUUUGGGUAUCAUUGCAAGGCAUGUUAAAGCUAGGCUUACUUAGCCUGUGUGGAAGUUGGUCCCUGCUUGGUGCUGAGCAGUCAGGGCUGGUGAAGGUGAUAGUCAGAGUGUUCAGCUCCUGGUGCCACCAGUGAUGAUGUCCCAUGGUCCUUGACCUUUGCUAUGGUCUGAUAUCCUCUACUGUUGUUUGCUCAUCCCCUAUCCCUUGAACACAUAUUCUCCAUGUAAGCAGAAAGGGCAUAAAAUCUGAUUUUACCCUAAACAGUAUCUGAAAAUUAACUGCUGUUUUUCAUGCUUCUGCCUUUUCUGUGUAGAGCAGAUAGAUUUAGCCAGUCUGCAUCCUUGACAGCUACUGCAUAGGUGGACAGGAACUACAACAGAUCCUGCUGCUGAGGAGCUGCAAGAUCUCCCUGUUCCCAUUUUUUCUUGGUAAAAUAGAGGAUCCUUUGAACAAAAUUGAAAUUCAGACCAAACACAAAAAGUGCACAGGUUGAGACAGUUACACAUAUCUAAACUUGAUACUGAUCCUGCAGAGCCUUGCUUAAACACCUGUUUCAGAAGGGUGCUGGCAGGGGUCAACUUGUGUAGAGCACGCUCUUUUAAUGGAUGAGUACAGCUAUGGCUAGGAAGAACAAACAGAACAGUGUGAAACCGUUCUGAGUCCUGUCCUGGUUUGGCUUCCUCCUUG